AGAAAACUAUGGCUCUGCUUUUACUGAAGGAAUGGCUACCGGAGCGGGCAGCUUUAUGAAUAUAAGGUGAAAAGGAUGUAUGGAGAAGUUUUGGGAGAGUCAGACAGUCCACGGAACUUGCAAUGACUUAGCAAUGAUCUAUGCCAGACGUACAACCCCUGCUGUCAUUGGUGAUACCACUGCUUGAAAAUAUGUCAACGUCCUGUAGAUCAAGUAAGGUUCCAGUCGAAGUCCUCCUGAAGAAUUUGUUGGAUUUCUGCCAGUUUUUGAUAUUGAACUUUAGUGCCUUUUGAGACUCUUGGCUUUUUAAUGGCACGCCUCAUUCUACCCAAAUGGAAGGAUUGGAGUGUGUUUAUAUUGUAUAUGUUUAUAGGCUUGCUAAUAUUUGCUUAGGCUUUCACAUUGUUUUCUGAGAUACUUCUCAAUUAUGUCAUUGUGACUCAUUGUAUCACACUUCAAGACGCGUAUCUUUUACUCAAUUAGUGUAUGCACUGUGAAUCCAAACAUGAGAAUUCUAAGAUUAUAGCAACUGCAAAGUUACUGCAAGGACAAUGUUAGUUUUGUAAAAACCUUAAGUGACAAGCACAAGAUGCGAUAGUGCUGGGAGCUUUUCUCUUGUAACAUUUUAAUGCAUUUGUAAUGGUGACGGUAAGCAGAUACUACAUUUUCAUCUCAUACUGUAUGU
Molecule: long non-coding RNA, 685 nt
Organism: Sardina pilchardus (European sardine)
Lineage: Eukaryota; Metazoa; Chordata; Actinopteri; Clupeiformes; Clupeidae
Exons: 3
Source: RefSeq, a predicted model, not a curated record